GGCGCGGUAGCCAAGUGGUUAGGCAACGGUUUGCAAAACCGUCAAACGUGGGUUCGAAUCCCAUCCGCGCCU
This 72-nucleotide transfer RNA is filed under the name Deltaproteobacteria bacterium. Its description in RNAcentral is "tRNA-Cys". It matches the Rfam family "tRNA". From Rfam's summary of the family: Transfer RNA (tRNA) molecules are approximately 80 nucleotides in length. Their secondary structure includes four short double-helical elements and three loops (D, anti-codon, and T loops). Lineage: Bacteria; Pseudomonadati; Myxococcota; Myxococcia. The record is from RNAcentral.